RNAcentral lists this transfer RNA (73 nucleotides) under Sphaerodactylus townsendi. RNAcentral's name for it is "tRNA-Ala". Lineage: Eukaryota; Metazoa; Chordata; Lepidosauria; Squamata; Sphaerodactylidae. The record is from RNAcentral.
GAUUGCUGCGGCUCAGUGGCUCAGCCUCUGCUUGGCACGCGGAAGGGCCCCGGUUCAAUCCCCAGCAGCAUCU